CACUCCUGCGGGAGGCAGCAGUGAGGAAUAUUGGACCAUGGGUGGAAGCCUGAUCCAGCCAUCCCGCGUGCAGGAAGACGGCCCUAUGGGUUGUAAACUGCUUUUAUCUGGGGAUAAACCUACUUACGUGUAAGUAGCUGAAGGUACCAGAAGAAUAAGCACCGGCUAACUCCGUGCCAGCAGCCGCGGUAAUACGGAGGGUGCAAGCGUUAUCCGGAUUUAUUGGGUUUAAAGGGUCCGUAGGCGGACUGAUAAGUCAGUGGUGAAAUCCGACAGCUUAACUGUCGAACUGCCAUUGAUACUGUUAGUCUUGAGUAAGGUUGAAGUGGCUGGAAUAAGUAGUGUAGCGGUGAAAUGCAUAGAUAUUACUUAGAACACCAAUUGCGAAGGCAGGUCACUAAGUCUUAACUGACGCUGAUGGACGAAAGCGUGGGGAGCGAACAGGAUUAGAAACCCCUGUAGUCCCA
RNAcentral lists this ribosomal RNA (467 nucleotides) under uncultured organism. RNAcentral's name for it is "partial 16S ribosomal RNA". It matches the Rfam family "Bacterial small subunit ribosomal RNA", at positions 334 to 797 of the family's 1533-position model. The record is from RNAcentral.